Molecule: non-coding RNA, 29 nt
Filed under: Rattus norvegicus (Norway rat)
Lineage: Eukaryota; Metazoa; Chordata; Mammalia; Rodentia; Muridae
Source: RNAcentral
UGGGCUGUUGUCUUUUGUGGAUUCUAUGC